This 1343-nucleotide ribosomal RNA is filed under the name human gut metagenome. RNAcentral describes it as "bacterial LSU rRNA". It matches the Rfam family "Bacterial large subunit ribosomal RNA", at positions 1050 to 2472 of the family's 2925-position model. The record is from RNAcentral.
AAUGUGCGCUAAGUGGAAAACGAUGUGGAGUUGCGAAAACAACCAGGAUGUUGGCUUAGAAGCAGCCACUCAUUAAAAGAGUGCGUAAUAGCUCACUGGUCGAGUGACUCUGCGCGGAAAAUAUAACGGGGCUAAGCACACAACCGAAGCUUGGGAUUGUCAAAAGACAGUGGUAGGGGAGCGUCGAAUACGGGGUGAAGUCGCAUCGGAAGGAGCGGUGGACUGUAUUCGAGUGAGAAUGCCGGAAUGAGUAGCGAGAAUUAUGUGGGAAUCAUAAUGGCCGAAAAUCUAAGGUUUCUUGGGGAAGGUUCGUCCGCCCAAGGUAAGUCGGGAGCUAAGGCGAGGCCGAGAGGCGUAGUCGAUGCACAUACGGUAGAAAUUCCGUAACCACCGAAACUUAAGUCAGAGGGACACUUCAGAAUAGCGGAACCGCGGCGUUGGUAGACCGCGGCGAAAGGGACUGAAAUAUAGUAGGGAAGUCCGCGAUGCUCGGAGGCGAGAAAAGCUCUAAGGUAUGCUAAGGUGCCCGUACCGCAAACCGACACAGGUAGAUGAGGAGAGAAUCCUAAGGCCAACGGGAGAAGGGUUGUCAAGGAACUCGGCAAGUUGACCCCGUAACUUCGGAAGAAGGGGAGCCUCGAAAGAGGCCGCAGUGAAUAGGCCCAAGCAACUGUUUACCAAAAACACAGGUCUAUGCUAAAUCGAAAGAUGACGUAUAUGGGCUGACGCCUGCCCGGUGCCGGAAGGUUAAGAGGAGAUGUCAGGCAACGAAGCAUCGAAUUGAAGCCCCGGUAAACGGCGGCCGUAACUAUAACGGUCCUAAGGUAGCGAAAUUCCUUGUCAGGUAAGUUCUGACCCGCACGAAUGGCGUAAUGAUCUGGGCACUGUCUCGACAGCCCACCCGGCGAAAUUGUAGUACUGGUGAAGAUGCCAGUUACCCGCAACUAGACGGAAAGACCCCAUGGAGCUUUACUGCAGCUUAAUACUGGAAAUCGGUAAUUCAUGUACAGGAUAGGUGGGAGACGGAGAAGCAUGGUCGUCAGGUCAUGUGGAGUCGCCCUUGGGAUACCACUCUUGGAUUGCUGGUUUUCUAACCUGCGGCCGUGAAUCCGGUCGGGGGACACUGUUAGGCGGGCAGUUUGACUGGGGCGGUCGCCUCCAAAAAGGUAACGGAGGCGCUCAAAGGUUCGUUCAGCACGGACGGAAAUCGUGCAUUGAGUGUAAACGCAUAAACGAGCCUAACUGCGAGACCGACGGGUCGAGCAGUAACGAAAGUUGGAGUUAGUGAUCCGGUGGUAUGUGAGUGGAAAUGCCAUCGCUCAACGGAUAAAAGCUACCCUGGG